RNAcentral lists this ribosomal RNA (917 nucleotides) under Providencia rettgeri. RNAcentral's name for it is "partial 23S ribosomal RNA". It matches the Rfam family "Bacterial large subunit ribosomal RNA", at positions 612 to 1532 of the family's 2925-position model. Lineage: Bacteria; Pseudomonadati; Pseudomonadota; Gammaproteobacteria; Enterobacterales; Morganellaceae. The record is from RNAcentral.
AUAAUGGGUCAGCGACUUAUAUUCUGUAGCAAGGUUAACCGUAUAGGGGAGCCGUAGGGAAACCGAGUCUUAACUGGGCGAAUGAGUUGCAGGGUAUAGACCCGAAACCCGGUGAUCUAGCCAUGGGCAGGUUGAAGGUUGGGUAACACUAACUGGAGGACCGAACCGACUAAUGUUGAAAAAUUAGCGGAUGACUUGUGGCUGGGGGUGAAAGGCCAAUCAAACCGGGAGAUAGCUGGUUCUCCCCGAAAGCUAUUUAGGUAGCGCCUCGUGAACUCAUCUUCGGGGGUAGAGCACUGUUUCGACUAGGGGGUCAUCCCGACUUACCAACUCGAUGCAAACUACGAAUACCGAAGAAUGUUAUCACGGGAGACACACGGCGGGUGCUAACGUUCGUCGUGAAGAGGGAAACAACCCAGACCGCCAGCUAAGGUCCCAAAGUCAUAGUUAAGUGGGAAACGAAGUGGGAAGGCUCAGACAGCCAGGAUGUUGGCUUAGAAGCAGCCAUCAUUUAAAGAAAGCGUAAUAGCUCACUGGUCGAGUCGGCCUGCGCGGAAGAUGUAACGGGGCUAAACUAUGCACCGAAGCUGCGGCAGCGAUAUGUAAAUAUUGUUGGGUAGGGGAGCGUUCUGUAAGCCUGUGAAGGUGUACUGUGAGGUAUGCUGGAGGUAUCAGAAGUGCGAAUGCUGACAUAAGUAACGAUAAUGCGGGUGAAAAACCCGCACGCCGGAAGACCAAGGGUUCCUGUCCAACGUUAAUCGGGGCAGGGUGAGUCGACCCCUAAGGCGAGGCAGAAAUGCGUAGUCGAUGGGAAACGGGUUAAUAUUCCCGUACUGGUGAUAAUUGCGAUGGGGGGACGGAGAAGGCUAGGCUAUCCGGGCGACGGUUGUCCCGGUUUAAGAAUGUAGGCAGGUGAA